Rosa chinensis is the source of this 1110-nucleotide long non-coding RNA. RefSeq lists it as uncharacterized. Lineage: Eukaryota; Viridiplantae; Streptophyta; Magnoliopsida; Rosales; Rosaceae. The record is from RefSeq and is a predicted model, not a curated record. The transcript is spliced from 3 exons.
UUUUUGUAUAUAAAUAACAAUUGAUGCACGUACGUUUACAGUUACUGUUUUCUUGAUCUCCAUGCAAAAGAAGUGGAAAAUAAUUGUUAGAUUCACCUCUUAUUUGUCUAUCGAUCUACUAUUUUGUUCAAAUACGUAGUACCACUCACGAACAACUCGCUCGUCUUCUUUAUGGCAAGCAUGCAUUCUAAAACUAUACUAAAACCCAAUCCGCAAAAAAGACAAACAAAAUGAAUAGUGUCCUGCCUCAUGUCUUCUAUUACGGAAUUGUCCUGACACCUGUACCUUUUCUAUGGCAUCGAGUCCCAGCAGCUGUUUAAUUGCUUCUCCUGCCACCGAUUUGUGGUAGCAGUAAGCAAGUAAACUAUGGAAAGAGGGAAGAACUUCCUGCUGUAUGUUCCUAUGCGGAAUCAAAUCCAAUUGAAGCAAGAUUCUUUGCUGGGUUUUCUUAUUUGUUCCUAUAAAUAGAAGCAAUUGUAGGGGCAAAAUCGAUUCUGGGGAUGUCAUUAUUUUUUGAGAGAUUCAAGCGAUUGAAGCUCCUGAAUUUUGAGGAGGACUUUUGAUGGGUAUUGAUGAAUUUCCAACUGUUCUCAGGUUGCUUAUAACUUACUUCACCCCACUAUCAAUCUACAAACUUUUGUGUUCUGCUCCCAGAGCCUUAGAAGCAGGGUACUUCUUUUUACCUACUGGUGACUAAAAAAAAAAAAAGAGGAAUUGUUCAAAGCAAAACUGAGCAAGAACCUAAAAAGGCAAGUUUUAAAAUCCUCGCUUCAAUUCUAAUUUAGGGACUGUACUCAUUGUGUGCAGUUUCCUUUCCACUCUGUCUGUUCAAUUUAGCCAUCCCUUAAUUAAUGACUCAAUCUUUUAUAUAUAACUUUCAUGUGCUCUGUAUAUUUCAGUGACAAUUUUGAAGAUGAAACAACACCAUCAAAUCAGACCAGCACAAAUACAUUGGUUCAAUCUGACACAGAAGGCCUUACCUAACCACUUCUACUCUACAAUCUUAUCCUUUUUGUCAUGCUCUGUAACUUUUUGUGAUAGGGACCAUUCUCUAUAUUUUUUGUAAUGCUAACGGUCUUUGAAAAACAAUGUCAUGCUGUGUACAUAUAA